This 109-nucleotide ribosomal RNA is filed under the name Oryzias javanicus (javanese ricefish). The record is from RNAcentral. Lineage: Eukaryota; Metazoa; Chordata; Actinopteri; Beloniformes; Adrianichthyidae.
CUUUACGGCCACACCACCCUGAACACGCCCGAUCUCGGAAGCUAAGCAGGGCCGGGCCUGGUUAGUACUUGGAUGGGAGACCGCCUGGGAAUACCAGGUGCUGUAAGUU